Molecule: ribosomal RNA, 450 nt
Filed under: uncultured bacterium
Lineage: Bacteria
Description: bacterial SSU rRNA
Rfam family: Bacterial small subunit ribosomal RNA
Source: RNAcentral
UGCCAGACUCCUACGGGAGGCAGCAGUGGGGAAUAUUGCACAAUGGGGGAAACCCUGAUGCAGCAACGCCGCGUGAGUGAAGAAGUAUUUCGGUAUGUAAAGCCCUAUCGGCAGGGAAGAAGCAAGACGGUACCUGACUAAGAAGCCCCGGCUAACUACGUGCCAGCAGCCGCGGUAAUACGUAGGGGGGGAGCGUUAUCCGGAUUUACUGGGUGUAAAGGGGGCGUAGACGGCAGCGCAAGUCUGGAGUGAAAUGCCGGGGCCCAACCCCGGAACUGCUUUGGAAACUGUGCAGCUGGAGUGCAGGAGAGGUAAGCGGAAUUCCUAGUGUAGCGGUGAAAUGCGUAGAUAUUAGGAGGAACACCAGUGGCGAAGGCGGCUUACUGGACUGUAACUGACGUUGAGGCUCGAAAGCGUGGGGAGCAAACAGGAUUAGAUACCCGAGUAAGA